This 199-nucleotide long non-coding RNA is filed under the name Elaeis guineensis (African oil palm). RNAcentral describes it as "long non-coding RNA (EGUI_LNC042234)". Lineage: Eukaryota; Viridiplantae; Streptophyta; Magnoliopsida; Arecales; Arecaceae. The record is from RNAcentral.
CUUAACUUAGUAGGGCUUUUUUAUCAUCAUUAGUAAGGUGUAAGUAAGGCAUUUUCAAAGCCCACCUACCUACCUUUUAGUUAGGGCAGGCUAUUGAACCCGAUCAACUCCUUUUAUGACAUUAUUCGCUGUCUCAGAGUUGUCAUAUUCCUAUUAAUAAUUGUGAUAGCUUUUAUAGGAUAUGUACCACCUUAGGGUC